RNAcentral lists this long non-coding RNA (663 nucleotides) under Pan troglodytes (chimpanzee). RNAcentral describes it as "lincRNA". The record is from RNAcentral. Lineage: Eukaryota; Metazoa; Chordata; Mammalia; Primates; Hominidae.
CAAAAGGCCCACUAGGUGGAGUGAAAUGGAUCAGGAGCAAUUAUGUUCAAUUUCACCUUUAAGUUUUCUCAAAAGGAGGAGGAUUAAGAAUCAGCCACCUUAGUACAUACUUAAAGGAGAAGAUAGUCAUUGGACAAAAGGUGGGUCAUUCUCACGUUGACCAAGUUUCUGUUCCAGUAUCACCCUCCCAAGAGCAAGUUGAGAAACAAAUGCAGGAAUCCAGCUGAUGAACAUCUAUCUAUAAUCCUAAAGGUUGGCCGGGCGUGGUGGCUCACGCCUGUGAUCCUAGCACUUUGGGAGGCCGAGGCGGGUGGAUCACCUGAGGUCCAGAGUUCGAGACCAGCCUGACCAACAUGGAGAAACCCCGCCUCUACUAAAAAUACAAAAUUAGCUGGGCGUGGUGGCGUAUGCCUGUAAUCCCAGCUGCUCCAGAGGCUGAGGCAGGAGAAUGGCUUGAGCCUGCGAGUUAGAGGUUGCGGUGAGCCGAGAUCGCGCCAUUGCACUCCACCCUGGGCAACAAGAGUAAGACUCCGUCUCAAAAAAAAAAAAAAAAAAAAAAAAAAAAAAAUCCUAAAGGUUGACUAAACUGCAUUAGAGAAGCAGCUCAACCUGUGGCUACAAGCCUACCACUUUUCCUUCAGAAUUAAACACUUCCAUCCCCAA